This is a transfer RNA of Felis catus (domestic cat), 85 nucleotides long. It matches the Rfam family "tRNA". From Rfam's summary of the family: Transfer RNA (tRNA) molecules are approximately 80 nucleotides in length. Their secondary structure includes four short double-helical elements and three loops (D, anti-codon, and T loops). The record is from Rfam. NCBI's taxonomy places the organism in Eukaryota, Metazoa, Chordata, Mammalia, Carnivora, Felidae.
GCCUGGGUGGCUCAGUCGGUUGAGCAUCCGACUUCGGCUCAGAUCAUGAUCCCACGGUUCAUGGGUUCGAGCCCCGCCUCGGGCU